Molecule: non-coding RNA, 651 nt
Organism: Pantherophis guttatus
Lineage: Eukaryota; Metazoa; Chordata; Lepidosauria; Squamata; Colubridae
Source: RefSeq, a predicted model, not a curated record
GUGUGGUCACGUGACAAAUAAGGAAAAUGCCCGGUUCUUAUCCUCAACUCUGAAACUCCGGACUUCCGGUUCCUUCUAGCAUUUUUUUUCCCCCGAGGGGGGCGUGGAAAUUAGCCUUGGGUUGCUAGUAAAUUGUUGCCAGACGAGGCUAUAAUAUUACUGUGAUUCGACAAAAGUACACCCUACCCUACUCGAAGAAUCAGGAUAAACAUCUCCUUUCUGUUUAAAAGAUACAAUGGAAGAGGAACAAAUUUUACUGGACAAGACUUUUAAAAAAGCUUUCAAAGUAAAAGCUUAGUUAUUUCAUUACUAGGCUAAGUAACGUAAGUGCAUAAGUGAGGAAAAAAGUUGCAAGAAGAAAGCUCAAAGAAUAAGAACCCCAACAAUUCAACCAUGAGAAAGUUCUGACCACCACCUCUUAAUCACAGCCUGAAGCCAAUUUAAACCAACAAUUACAUAUCUAGGGGAAAAGAAAUCACUAUGGUUAAAGCUACAUUCAGCCGGAGAUUUCUACUGAACAGAACUUGGGCCAUUGUAUCAUGAUCUUCAGAAACCUAGAAACAGUGUAAGAACAGUGCAAGUGUUAUGAGCCAAGAACUAUGAUUUUAUGAAUUUUCUAUCAGCUGAGUCUAUUAAAGAUAUCUAUAUGCA